AUGGUUUUUAACAGCCCUAACCCUCCGCAGCCCGGCCUUUAUUCUCGCAGCUCACCUUCACCUCCCCUGGCGCCUGUCCGGCAGGCGCUACCCUCGGAAUCCGCACCGAGCGGUCAGGGCACACAGCACCGACUUCCUGGAGCUUCCCUCCCUGGGAAACGAGACGAACCCCCAUAUUCCAGGUGUGGUCCGGGCUGGGAGAAGCAGGCGGCCAGGUGGGGGGUGAGCGCAGCUCGGGGGCGACCCCUCCCGCACACGGGGUCAGAGCCCUCGACAGCAUCAGGACCAGCGGGAAGGCCGGUGCACCUGCCACCACCGACAGGGGGACGCCGCGGGGGGGCCAGGCCAGAGCUUUGGCUUCUCCCCAGGGGAGAGGGAACUGAAGCCGCGGGAGGGCCUGCAGCCGAGGGCCACCAGGAUGUACGCGGCCGUGGAGGCGCCGGUGCCCCCCUGCGCCGACCGCCAACAGAGGCCAGGCCAGGCAGGCUCCGGCCACCAUCCAGGCAGCAGGUGACGGGGAGUCGGAAGAGCAGACCCCGGGGCCGAGACAAGCACUCGGGCGAGGCCCAGCCAGGAGACCCCCCCACCACCUGGGGAGACGAACUACGCGGCGGGACAGCCAGUGGCCCAAACGACCCUGAGAGCCAGCAGCGCGCCGGGGCGGGGGCCACGGGCUUUGGUGCCAAGAAGAGGAGGUGCGCGGGCGGCGAGGGGCUCGGACGCCGGACGCAGACAAGCACUAAGCGCAGGGACCGUCCUUGUCCGGGGCUGCCCAGCGAGUGUGGACAGAGGAAGAACAGGCUGGAGGAGCAGGGCCUGGAGCGGGGCGGCGAGGCCACCCGCUGGGAACCCCAUAAACAGGACGCAGGGAAGGCAAGCUCCACCCAGGGCCUGGCCCAGAAGCCGCGGGCCCGACGGCGCAGGACGGUGAAGAGCAGUCGGCGUGACGCGUCCCUGCACAGCCCCGGACAGGCGCCCUGGGGCUUCUCCGCGCUGCACAAGAUCAGGGGGUCCACAAGAGCAUCUCCCCUGCCACCCCGGCCAGCGGAGGCCAGUGGAGGCCAGCGGCGGCCAGCGUCCGCAUCCACACAAGCUCGCUCGGUGGGAGGAGGCACAGCGAUGCCGGCUCCCCAUGCUGGCCAUGUCUGGGAAGCCCCGGUCCCAUCCCCGUGUCAGCCCGCGUGCUCCCUUCCAGGCCAACUCAGGGUGGCAGAGGAGCUUGGGGGGCUCGCACCUGGCUCCGCAGCCCCCCUGCGAAGCCCCGUGGGCCCCGUGCUCCCCGCAGGCUCAGCUCCCGGCCGUGGCCGCACCACUAGGGCUGCAGGGAGCCUCGCGGCUACUGUCCCCCACGCAGCCUGGGAGCUCCUAGUGAAGACACGGUCCUGA
This 1386-nucleotide long non-coding RNA is filed under the name Canis lupus dingo (dingo). RNAcentral's name for it is "lncRNA (ENSCAFG00020007881.1)". The record is from RNAcentral. Lineage: Eukaryota; Metazoa; Chordata; Mammalia; Carnivora; Canidae.